RNAcentral lists this ribosomal RNA (557 nucleotides) under uncultured bacterium. RNAcentral's name for it is "bacterial SSU rRNA". It matches the Rfam family "Bacterial small subunit ribosomal RNA", at positions 102 to 694 of the family's 1533-position model. The record is from RNAcentral.
ACGGGUGAGUAACGCGUGGGAAUCUACCCAUCUCUACGGAAUAACGCAUGGAAACGUGUGCUAAUACCGUAUACGUCCUUCGGGAGAAAGAUUUAUCGGAGAUGGAUGAGCCCGCGUUGGAUUAGCUAGUUGGUGGGGUAAAGGCCUACCAAGGCGACGAUCCAUAGCUGGUCUGAGAGGAUGAUCAGCCACACCGGGACUGAGACACGGCCCAGACUCCUACGGGAGGCAGCAGUGGGGAAUAUUGGACAAUGGGCGCAAGCCUGAUCCAGCCAUGCCGCGUGAGUGAUGAAGGCCCUAGGGUUGUAAAGCUCUUUCACCGGUGAAGAUAAUGACGGUAACCGGAGAAGAAGCCCCGGCUAACUUCGUGCCAGCAGCCGCGGUAAUACGAAGGGGGCUAGCGUUGUUCGGAUUUACUGGGCGUAAAGCGCACGUAGGCGGACUAUUAAGUCAGGGGUGAAAUCCCGGGGCUCAACCCCGGAACUGCCUUUGAUACUGGUAGUCUUGAGUUCGAGAGAGGUGAGUGGAAUUCCGAGUGUAGAGGUGAAAUUCGUAGA